Molecule: ribosomal RNA, 253 nt
Filed under: uncultured bacterium
Lineage: Bacteria
Description: partial 16S ribosomal RNA
Rfam family: Bacterial small subunit ribosomal RNA
Source: RNAcentral
UACAGAGGUCUUAAGCGUUGUUCGGAUUCAUUGGGCGUAAAGGGUGCGUAGGCGGCGCGGUAAGUCGGGUGUGAAAUCUCGGAGCUUAACUCCGAAACUGCAUUCGAUACUGCCGUGCUUGAGGACUGGAGAGGAGACUGGAAUUCAUGGUGUAGCAGUGAAAUGCGUAGAGAUCAUGAGGAAGACCAGUGGCGAAGGCGGGUCUCUGGACAGUUCCUGACACUGAGACACGAAGGCCAGGGGAGCAAACGGG